GCGGCGUCAACGUGAUUGCGGGAGCGCGUUCGCCGGGACGAACGCCUGCUUUCGUCGGGACAAACGCCUGCAUUCGUCGGGAGUCUCUCCAGAGAGGCCAUUCAGCGCCUGGACUUGGCACUCGACUUCCUGUUCUCCCGUCACGUCACUGAAAUAUACGAGAAUUUCGUUCGGGCGUCUGCCAUAGCAAGCCAACUCGGCGGGGAGGUUUCAAGAGAAACUGUUGCGCGCGGCCUCGGCAACACGGCUGCGGCAAAGCCACUUCAACGCAGCCAUUGACGCGGGCCCUUGGAAACGACGAGGAGAUUGACGUAACGGAUAAAACAGCGUCUUAAGAAUGCUCAUAACACCACUGCCACAGAGAUUUUCGUUUCUCCUAGCCAUAUACAGC
Long non-coding RNA from Rhipicephalus microplus (southern cattle tick), 391 nucleotides. The record is from RefSeq and is a predicted model, not a curated record. Lineage: Eukaryota; Metazoa; Arthropoda; Arachnida; Ixodida; Ixodidae.